This 120-nucleotide ribosomal RNA is filed under the name Donax vittatus. The record is from RNAcentral. Lineage: Eukaryota; Metazoa; Mollusca; Bivalvia; Cardiida; Donacidae.
GUUUACCGCCAUAUGACGUUGAAAACACCGGUUCUUUCCCGAUCACCGAAGUUAAGCAACGUCCAGCCCGGUUAGUACUUGGAUGGGUGACCACCUGGGAAUACCAGGUGCCGUAGACUU